AUGUCAUCAUUCACCGGCGUAUCCGUCCUCGAAGACAACGUGGGGUCCUAUUGCAGAACAUCGGCCGUCAAGGCCGGCACGGACAGCGGCUACCAUCUCCUUAUGGUCAAUGGCUACUCGCGUACCAAAGAAGAGAAGCCCACCGGCAAGAGCAUCAGCUCUGGCGCUUUUGUGGUAGGAGGAUAUGCUUGGUUACUAGAGUACUACCUCAAUGGCAAGCACCCGAGCUGCGCCGACUUCAUCUCUCUCUACCUAUCCCUUGUCCACGACGAUGGCAAAGUGGAUAGCAAAGUGGACGCCACCUUCAGUUUUUGUCUUGUCGACCAGGUUGAGAAGCAGAUGCCAAUGUACAUCCGUGCAACUAAUAAAGCGACCAGGUUCGAGAGCGCUGGUGAUUAUUCCUGGGGCAUCAAUGAGUUUCUCCGAAGAGAUGCCCUUGAACGAUCGGCGAAUCUGAAGGGCGAUUCUUUCACCAUCCGGUGUGACAUAAUGGUUUGAUCCCGGUGGCCACGACGCCAAGGUGCUCCUGUCUGACAUGGACCAGCAUUUUAACAUUCUCCUAAUCUCCUUCAGACCAAGGUGGGUGCCGAUGUGACAUUCGAGGUUAGUGGCGAGACGUUCACCGCACAUCGUUGUGUGCUUGCAGCCCGGUCUAAAGUCUUCAUGGCACAACUCUUUGGCCCCGUGAAGGAGGGCACUGCUACGCCCGGUGUCAUACAUAUCGAAGACAUGGGAGCAAACGUGUUCAGGACGUUGCUUAGCUUCAUCUACACAGACUCAUGCGCUGAGGAAGAGCAAGAAAUGUCACAAGUUCUGGAAGAAGGACAAGAAGAUGAAACAACAAAGGAUGAUAUUUGGCUGCAACGGCUUCAAGACUUGUUUGUGGCGGCGGACAGGUACGAUCUCCAACGUCUCAAGUGCAUGUGUGAAAUGCAAUUGUCUGAUAACAUAGGUGUGAGCUCGGUGAUGUCCACUCUUGCUCUAGCCGAGCAACACCACUGCCAGGGAUUGAAGGAGACAUGCUUGAAGUUUAUCCAAAUCUAGUCUUCCUCGUGCAUGCAAACAGUAACAACAACUGAUGGCUGGGAUUAUGUUGUUUUGACCUAUCCCUCGGUUUUGAAGGAGCUCUUCGUCAAGCUUGCUUCAAACCAACAAAAGUAA
This 1161-nucleotide ribosomal RNA is filed under the name Triticum aestivum (bread wheat). RNAcentral's name for it is "partial small subunit ribosomal RNA". The record is from RNAcentral. Lineage: Eukaryota; Viridiplantae; Streptophyta; Magnoliopsida; Poales; Poaceae.